AUUGAACGCUGGCGGCAGGCCUAACACAUGCAAGUCGAGCGGAUGAAGGGAGCUUGCUCCUGGAUUCAGCGGCGGACGGGUGAGUAAUGCCUAGGAAUCUGCCUGGUAGUGGGGGAUAACGUCCGGAAACGGGCGCUAAUACCGCAUACGUCCUGAGGGAGCAAGUGGGGGAUCUUCGGACCUCACGCUAUCAGAUGAGCCUAGGUCGGAUUAGCUAGUUGGUGGGGUAAAGGCCUACCAAGGCGACGAUCCGUAACUGGUCUGACAGGAUGAUCAGUCGCACUGGAAGUGAGACAGGGUCCAGAGUCCUACGGGAGGCAGCAGUGGGGAAUAUUGGACAAUGGGGGAAAGCCUGAUCCAGCCAUGCCGCGUGUGUGAAGAAGGUCUUCGGAUUGUAAAGCACUUUAAGUUGGGAGGAAGGGCAGUAAGUUAAUACCUUGCUGUUUUGACGUUACCAACAGAAGAAGCACCGACUAACUUCGUG
This 484-nucleotide ribosomal RNA is filed under the name uncultured bacterium. Its description in RNAcentral is "partial 16S ribosomal RNA". It matches the Rfam family "Bacterial small subunit ribosomal RNA", at positions 30 to 507 of the family's 1533-position model. The record is from RNAcentral.